ACCCAGACUCCUACGGGAGGCAGCAGUGGGGAAUAUUGCACAAUGGGGGAAACCCUGAUGCAGCGACGCCGCGUGAAGGAAGAAGUAUUUCGGUAUGUAAACUUCUAUCAGCAGGGAAGAAAAUGACGGUACCUGACUAAGAAGCCCCGGCUAACUACGUGCCAGCAGCCGCGGUAAUACGUAGGGGGCAAGCGUUAUCCGGAUUUACUGGGUGUAAAGGGAGCGUAGGCGGCGAUGCAAGUCAGAAGUGAAAGCCCGGGGCUCAACUCCGGGACUGCUCUUGGAACUGCGUGGCUGGAGUGCAGGAGGGGCAGGCGGAAUUCCUGGUGUAGCGGUGAAAUGCGUAGAUAUCAGGAGGAACACCGGCGGCGAAGGCGGCCUGCUGGACCGUGACUGACGUUGAGGCUCGAGAGCGUGGGGAGCAAACAGGAUUAGAUACCCCAGUA
This 446-nucleotide ribosomal RNA is filed under the name uncultured bacterium. RNAcentral describes it as "bacterial SSU rRNA". It matches the Rfam family "Bacterial small subunit ribosomal RNA", at positions 329 to 792 of the family's 1533-position model. The record is from RNAcentral.